UUACUGUAAAAAUCCACAGUACUAUACUGUAUGUAUACAUUACAGUACAGUACUGCAGUUCAUAAUGCAUUCUGGGUAAAUUUGUUUGAGCGGGAAAAUUUUACAGUAUAUUUUGGUCUUGAUGUAACCUUGCUGUAGCCAUUGCUGUAAUGUGCCAGGUGUACUUGCAAUAAUCAGAGAAAGUGCGCCAGAGUCAAAUCACACAGAGGGAGAGAGAGCACAACUCCUGGCUGCAGCUGAAGGAGGACGAUUGAUUUCUGGCAGUUCGUCUUACCAUUGCUUGUAAGCUGGAUUGGGUAAGAUGGAUCAUCUUUAAAGGCACCAGGAGUUAAGGCAGAUGUGGAGGCACAACGGGUGAUACCAGACACACACCAAGCACAUUAUGUUCGGACAUUCAAUCAUGACAGGAUCCAGGUGGAUGCUGUCCAUUGAUGAAAGAGUUUGUUCAGCGGUUUCUGGAUAGAAUUAAUUCCAAAGAUGGGAAAAAGUGCACAUCCAGACAAGGAGCAAGCAAAAAGACAAGGAACUUGGUGCAGAGAAAAGCUGUGGCCAUUAACCCCCAUGUGAACAGCUUCAUGCAGUCCCUGAUUGAGUUCGAAUGGACGACUUCAAAGUAAAGGCCACUGUGGUCUGUCUGCCACAGUUUAAUGCAUUUAUUUUUAGUGUUAAAUGAAACUUAAGUAGAAUAUUUAAAACUAUGGGCCAGUGUUCUUUUUACCACAGUGAAAUGUUACCUUUUAGUCGAUGAUGGACUUUAAACUGAAAACUUCAAACUAUGGACCAGUGUUCUAUUUGCCAGAGUUAAAUAUGUUACAGCAGGGGUCUCCAAACUUGUUUAUACUUGUUGAUUUUAUUUUAUGUUACUUGAUUAUAUGUUUAUUAUUGUUUAAAAUCUUGUUUUAAAUAUGUUUGUUUCAAUUAAAUGUUUUUUUAAAUAAAAUUUUGAUACAUACAUUGCUUUGAUUGCCUUUUAAUUCAUUAUGUUUUAAUUUAGCAUUUUUACCAUAUUAAUAACUAUAGAUUUAAACCUAAAUCUCUAGCUAUUUUAUAUAAUAUUAUUGUAUUAACUGUAAUAAGUAAUAAAUAGUAUUUAUGGGUCAAUAUAGACAUUACAGUAAAUUACUGUAAAAAUAGACUACUGUAAUAAAAUAUUGUAAAAUUACAGUACAGUACUGCUUUGUAACUAUACAGUACUAGUUUGUGUACUGUAAAAGGGUAUUACAGUACAGUACUGUAAAACCAAAAUACAGUAACUUACUGGCAACCGUGCUGCCAGUACCGUACUGUAAAAAUA
This is a long non-coding RNA of Paramisgurnus dabryanus, 1294 nucleotides long. RefSeq lists it as uncharacterized. The record is from RefSeq and is a predicted model, not a curated record. Lineage: Eukaryota; Metazoa; Chordata; Actinopteri; Cypriniformes; Cobitidae.